UUACGGCCAUUUCACGUUGAAACACGGGCUCUCGUACAAUCACUGAAGUUAAGCAACGUCGAUCCUGGUCAGUAACUAGAUGGGUGAUCGCUUGGGAAUACCAAGUGCUGUAAG
Molecule: non-coding RNA, 114 nt
Organism: Acanthosepion pharaonis
Lineage: Eukaryota; Metazoa; Mollusca; Cephalopoda; Sepiida; Sepiidae
Source: the annotation of a GenBank genome assembly